GCAUUCCACCGGAGCACGGCCCUCCUGAGCCAACUUCACGCUGCGUUCAAGCUCGCGCUCCUUCUCGCGCUCGCGCUCUUUCUCGCGUUCCCGCUCGCGCUCGCGCUCCUUUUCUUCGCGCGCGCGCUGCUCGGCCUCGCGCCGCACCUUCUCCACCAGGUCGGCCCGCUUCUUGGCCAGCUUGGAGCCCUCCAGUGGCACGAAGUACAGGUCGCUGCGCGCGCACGAGUUGAAGCCGCGAUCCAGGUGUUUGUUGAACCUGCCGGGCGUGGAAGCAGCGGGCGCUCAGGCGGUGCGAGCUGCCCGAUGGAGCCCGCAGCGCCGCGGCCCCGGCGAGUGCUUGUAGCCCCCGCCUCAAAACCACCCCUGCAGGCUGUGAGCUGCUGCGGGCCUCACUGGCCACUAGGCCUGGACGGAGGAGAGGGGCGUGCUUUUCUAAAACACUACACCAGCGCAAGGCCCCUCCCUGCUACUCCCUCUCUCGUCGCCGCCUUGUCGUCGUCCCCUUUCCAGGCCCACCUCCGCCCCACCUGGCCGCUCACCUGGCAGACUGACUGGCAUGGCUGGGUACAUCUACCACCUUGGGAGGGGGCGAGGGGCUGCGGGCUGGGGGCACCGGGCUCUCGGGGGUCUCAUACUCCUCAGCCGGCUCCUGUUUGAUCUGCGUGGCGCUCAGGGGCGGCCCUGAGGCAGGGGCCGCAGGUGGUGGUGGCAGCGAUGGCAGGCCUGAGGGCCCCGCAGGUGGCAGGGGCCCAGGUCCCACGGUGGGCGAGCCCGGCUUGAAGGUCCCUGGGCCUGCAGGUGGCGAGGUUCCUCGAUAGCCCGGUGGGGUCCCCGUUCGGAAGGAGGGAGGCGACCCGGGUUUGUAUCCGGGUGGGGUGGCUGUCUUGUAGGCCCCCGGGGACGGGGCUCUCUUUCCGUACGGUGGGGGCCCAGGUGGGGAGGCCGUUUUGUAGCCUGCUGGCGAGGAAGCCACGGUGGCAAUGACCGUGGAAAGGGUAGCCGAAGAGGUGGUGACCGUAGGCACCGGUGGGAAAGGGUAGGGCGCCCCUUGAGGGCCCUGGGAAGGGGAGGGGUGUGAACAUGGGUAGGACCCUUGAGAAGUGG
Molecule: long non-coding RNA, 1107 nt
Filed under: Homo sapiens (human)
Lineage: Eukaryota; Metazoa; Chordata; Mammalia; Primates; Hominidae
Description: LNC_000894
Source: RNAcentral